CCUACGGGGGGCAGCAGUGAGGAAUAUUGGUCAAUGGACGAGAGUCUGAACCAGCCAAGCAGCGUGAAGGAUGACUGCCCUAUGGGUUGUAAACUUCUUUUAUAAAGGAAUAAAACGAGGCACGUGUGCCUUUUUGCAUGUACUUUAUGAAUAAGGAGCGGCUAACUCCGCGCCAGCAGCCGCGGUAAUACGGAGGAUCCGAGCGUUAUCCGGAUUUGUUGGGUUUAAAGGGAGCGUAGAUGGGUUGUUAAGUCAGUUGUGAAAGUUUGCGGCUCAACCGUAAAAUUGCAAUUGAUACUGGCAGUCUUGAGUACAGUUGAGGUAGGCGGAAUUCGUGGUGUAGCGGUGAAAUGCUUAGAUAUCACGAAGAACCCCGAUGGCGAAGGCAGCUUACUAAACUGUGACUGACAUUGAUGCGCGAAAGUGUGGGUAUCAAACAGGAUUAGAUACCCGGGUAGUC
This 460-nucleotide ribosomal RNA is filed under the name uncultured bacterium. Its description in RNAcentral is "partial 16S ribosomal RNA". It matches the Rfam family "Bacterial small subunit ribosomal RNA", at positions 338 to 795 of the family's 1533-position model. The record is from RNAcentral.